UUUUCUCUUACAGCUCUCUCUACCCAG
RNAcentral lists this non-coding RNA (27 nucleotides) under Mus musculus (house mouse). Lineage: Eukaryota; Metazoa; Chordata; Mammalia; Rodentia; Muridae. The record is from RNAcentral.